UACGUAGGAGGCAAGCGUUGUCCGGAGUUACUGGGCGUAAAGAGCGCGCAGGCGGUCGUCCAAGUCGCGUGUGAAAGCCCCCGGCUCAACUGGGGAGGGUCACGCGAUACUGAUCGACUCGAAGGCAGGAGAGGGAAGCGGAAUUCCCGGUGUAGUGGUGAAAUGCGUAGAUAUCGGGAGGAACACCAGUGGCGAAGGCGGCUUCCUGGCCUGUUCUUGACGCUGAGGCGCGAAAGCUAGGGUAGCAAACGGG
This 253-nucleotide ribosomal RNA is filed under the name uncultured bacterium. Its description in RNAcentral is "partial 16S ribosomal RNA". It matches the Rfam family "Bacterial small subunit ribosomal RNA", at positions 524 to 776 of the family's 1533-position model. The record is from RNAcentral.